This 450-nucleotide ribosomal RNA is filed under the name uncultured bacterium. RNAcentral describes it as "partial 16S ribosomal RNA". It matches the Rfam family "Bacterial small subunit ribosomal RNA", at positions 354 to 796 of the family's 1533-position model. The record is from RNAcentral.
GUGGGGAAUUUUGGACAAUGGGGGAAACCCUGAUCCAGCGACGCCGCGUGAGUGAAGAAGGCCUUCGGGUCGUAAAGCUCUGUCAUCAGGGACGAACGGCCGGUGGAGUGGAAAGCCACCGGAUUGACGGUACCUGAGAAGGAAGCCACGGCUAACUACGUGCCAGCAGCCGCGGUAAUACGUAGGUGGCAAGCGUUGUCCGGAAUUAUUGGGCGUAAAGCGCGCGCAGGUGGGAUCUUAAGUCCAUUUUGAAAGUUCGGAGCUCAACUCCGUGAUGGGAUGGAAACUGGGAUUCUUGAGUACCGGAGAGGAAAGCGGAAUUCCCCGUGUAGCGGUGAAAUGCGUAGAUAUGGGGAGGAACACCAGUGGCGAAGGCGGCUUUCUGGACGGUGUCUGACACUGAGGCGCGAAAGCCAGGGGAGCGAACGGGAUUAGAAACCCGUGUAGUCC